Molecule: ribosomal RNA, 479 nt
Filed under: uncultured bacterium
Lineage: Bacteria
Description: partial 16S ribosomal RNA
Rfam family: Bacterial small subunit ribosomal RNA
Source: RNAcentral
GAUGAACGCUGGCGGCGUGCUUAACACAUGCAAGUCGAACGAAGCACUUUAACCUGCUUCUUCGGAUGAAGGUUUUUGUGACUGAGUGGCGGACGGGUGAGUAACGCGUGGGUAACCUGCCUCAUACAGGGGGAUAACAGUUAGAAAUGACUGCUAAUAAAGAAUAAGAACAUAGAGAAGUAUGGAUGGUUGGGAAAAACUCCGGUGGGAUGAGAUGGAACCGGGUCUGAUUAGGUAGUUGGUGGGGUAACGGCCUACCAAGCCAACGAUCAGUAGCCGACCUGAGAGGGUGACCGGCCACAUUGGGACUGAGACACGGCCCAAACUCCUACACACAUCCUCAAUAUAUAAUAUUACACCAUCAUGGAAACCCUGAUGCAACGACGCCGCGUGAGCGAAGAAGUAUUUCGGGAUAUAAAUCUCUAUCAACACUGACCAAAAUAACAUUCCCUCACUAAAAAUCACCGGCUAAAUACAUG